Molecule: long non-coding RNA, 258 nt
Filed under: Elaeis guineensis (African oil palm)
Lineage: Eukaryota; Viridiplantae; Streptophyta; Magnoliopsida; Arecales; Arecaceae
Description: long non-coding RNA (EGUI_LNC068532)
Source: RNAcentral
GCAUGACAUUAGUUAUUUUUUAUUUAUGAGGUAUUACAUUUUAUCAUUUGCUGCAUCAUUUUUUUUAUGACUAUAAUAAACCCCAUAGAUUAGGAUAAUGAUUUUAAGGUCAUGAUGAGAUCAUUCCAGUGAGACCUAAAAUCUUGAUAGCUUCAAUCUAAAAUAUUUUCAGUUGUUGGAUCAUUGAGUCAGAGAUCAAUGAUAUCGAUAAGAUUGGUACAUCCUAUGUAUGCUCGAUGGAGAGGAUGGUUGAUCUCA